RNAcentral lists this ribosomal RNA (748 nucleotides) under Bacillus licheniformis. Its description in RNAcentral is "bacterial SSU rRNA". It matches the Rfam family "Bacterial small subunit ribosomal RNA", at positions 57 to 785 of the family's 1533-position model. The record is from RNAcentral. Lineage: Bacteria; Bacillati; Bacillota; Bacilli; Caryophanales; Bacillaceae.
CCAAGUCCAAGCGGACAGACGGGAGCUUGCUCCCUGAUGUUAGCGGCGGACGGGUGAGUAACACGUGGGUAACCUGCCUGUAAGACUGGGAUAACUCCGGGAAACCGGGGCUAAUACCGGAUGCUUGAUUGAACCGCAUGGUUCAAUUAUAAAAGGUGGCUUUUAGCUACCACUUACAGAUGGACCCGCGGCGCAUUAGCUAGUUGGUGAGGUAACGGCUCACCAAGGCAACGAUGCGUAGCCGACCUGAGAGGGUGAUCGGCCACACUGGGACUGAGACACGGCCCAGACUCCUACGGGAGGCAGCAGUAGGGAAUCUUCCGCAAUGGACGAAAGUCUGACGGAGCAACGCCGCGUGAGUGAUGAAGGUUUUCGGAUCGUAAAACUCUGUUGUUAGGGAAGAACAAGUACCGUUCGAAUAGGGCGGUACCUUGACGGUACCUAACCAGAAAGCCACGGCUAACUACGUGCCAGCAGCCGCGGUAAUACGUAGGUGGCAAGCGUUGUCCGGAAUUAUUGGGCGUAAAGCGCGCGCAGGCGGUUUCUUAAGUCUGAUGUGAAAGCCCCCGGCUCAACCGGGGAGGGUCAUUGGAAACUGGGGAACUUGAGUGCAGAAGAGGAGAGUGGAAUUCCACGUGUAGCGGUGAAAUGCGUAGAGAUGUGGAGGAACACCAGUGGCGAAGGCGACUCUCUGGUCUGUAACUGACGCUGAGGCGCGAAAGCGUGGGGAGCGAACAGGAUUAGAUAU